UCCUUAGAUGUCCUGGGCUGCACGCGCGCUACACUGAUGUGUCCAGUAAGCACCUAACCUCUUCCGAAAGGAACGGGUAACCUUUGCAAAGCACAUCGUGAUGGGGAUAGAUUAUUGCAAUUAUUAGUCUUGAACGAGGAAUUCCUAGUAAGCACAAGUCAUCAGCUUGUGUUGAUUACGUCCCUGCCCUUUGUACACACCGCCCGUCGCUCCUACCGAUUGGGUGUGCUGGUGAAAUGUUCGGAUCGGCCGUUUGUCGCGGUUUCCGCGUCAUGUGGCUGAGAAGUUCAUUAAACCCUCCCACCUAGAGGAAGGAGAAGUCGUAACA
RNAcentral lists this ribosomal RNA (328 nucleotides) under uncultured eukaryote. RNAcentral's name for it is "partial 18S ribosomal RNA". It matches the Rfam family "Eukaryotic small subunit ribosomal RNA", at positions 1470 to 1796 of the family's 1831-position model. The record is from RNAcentral.